GAAAUGCGAUAAGUAAUGUGAAUUGCAGAAUUCCGUGAAUCAUCGAAUCUUUGAACGCACAUUGCGCCCUCUGGCAUUCCGGGGGGCAUGCCUGUCCGAGCGUCAUUACGCACCCUCAAGCCCGGCUUGUGUGAUGGGCCCCGGCGUCUCGUUCGCGAGACGGGCCCGAAAGGCAGCGGCGGCGUCGACCCGGUGAGCCCGAGCGUAUGGGGACUUCUGUCACACGUUCGCGGUGCGGACCGGCGCCUGCUUUGACUUUUCUGAUUAUCCAGGUUGACCUCGGAUCAGGUAGGGAUACCCGCUGAACUUAAGC
This 313-nucleotide unclassified non-coding RNA is filed under the name plant metagenome. RNAcentral's name for it is "partial contains 5.8S ribosomal RNA, internal transcribed spacer 2, and large subunit ribosomal RNA". The stretch from base 1 to 105 matches the Rfam family "5.8S ribosomal RNA", at positions 50 to 154 of the family's 154-position model. The record is from RNAcentral.